GGCUGCAACUCGCCUACAUGAAGUCGGAAUUGCUAGUAAUCGCGGAUCGGCAUGCCGCGGUGAAUACGUUCCCGGGCCUUGUACACACCGCCCGUCACACCAUGGGAGUCGGUAACACCCGAAGCCUGUAGUCUAACCGCAAGGAGGACGCAGUCGAAGGUGGGAUUGAUGACUGGGGUGAAGUCGUAACAAGGUACC
This 198-nucleotide ribosomal RNA is filed under the name uncultured bacterium. Its description in RNAcentral is "partial 16S ribosomal RNA". It matches the Rfam family "Bacterial small subunit ribosomal RNA", at positions 1303 to 1500 of the family's 1533-position model. The record is from RNAcentral.